RNAcentral lists this small RNA (1573 nucleotides) under Arabidopsis thaliana (thale cress). Its description in RNAcentral is "ATSL170780". The record is from RNAcentral. Lineage: Eukaryota; Viridiplantae; Streptophyta; Magnoliopsida; Brassicales; Brassicaceae.
AAUUUAAUUCAACUAAAAUAGCUCAUUAGAGAUUUUAUAAAAAAAAAAAAAACAAGCCAACGAACAAAAAAACAAAAAUGUUAUAUGAACUUCACAAUCUAUCCAUGAUUUCUUCUAGAAACACAUCUCUUCAAGUGUUAUAUAUAUAAACACACAAAAAAAAAAUAUAAUAUCAGAGCCAUAUAUACGUGAGAAAAUAGAAAACACAAAAAUGAGAGAAACAAGAAGAAAAAUAAUUUUGGGUUGGAGAUAUACGUACCUGGAGCUGAUUCACUGAUACCAAUAAAUAUAACUUGAUUCACAUAAAGUUAACUUCUAUGGUUGGCAUCCUUCAAAGAAGAACUUCUGGGAAAAUUGUUGUUUUUGGACAAUUCUCUUGGAAGGAUACGUGUGAUCACGUCUAAAAUUUUUUUGUUUGUGUUAUGCAAAACUUGGAUAAGAAUUUCUGAAAAAAAUUAUAUUAAAAAAGGGGUUCUCUAAUUUUAUAUACAACAAUUUUAAUUAAGUAGUUUCGGAGAGAUGGUGGAGUGUUGGAAUAGUGGAAAUGAUUUUUUUAAUUUUUCAAAAACCAGUUUUUAUAUACAACCGAAGAAAAUAAUGAAAGGUGAGGAAUUUAAGGAAUAAGGAAUAACAGUUUUUUGACAUUUAAAAAAUAGAACACAAUCUUGAUUCCAAACAGAAAUAUUUGUGAAUAUAAUUAUAAACAAAAAAUGAUAAAUUUAGUAUGGAUAAGAUUUGUCAUAUAUUGCUUAAUUAUUUUCAACUACUUCUGCAGCUUUUACAAAAAUGUUACUUAAAAAUACAAUUAUUUAAAACAAAUUUUAAUUAUAUAGAUUACGAAUGAGUGGAUAAAUGACUCAAAACAGGUACAAAAAUACAAUAACUAAGUGGCAUUAUUUGCUGUAGCCAAACACAUGAAAAUCAAAAGGUAAUAAAAUUCAAAAUUCAAACCCUAGAUCUUUAAGAAAAUCCAAAAUCCAAACCCUAGAGAUUAUCAAACUAUCAUAAACGGCAACCUUAAUUCCAUUCCAAACCAUAAUUCGAUGCAAAAGGAGGAAAAAUCAAAACUUUAAUUUUAUUUCAAUCCAACUUGAAACUUACCUCUGGAGCUUAAAUGGACGUCAGAAAACUUGGAUCCGGCGGCAGAUGCGGAAGAUUCGGGGGCGUAGGCGGAGGUUUAUCGGCACUGUUAUUCGACAGAAAAGGAGAGAAGAAUGAAAGAGAGAAGAAAAAGAGAGAAGAAAGAAAUGUAAUUUAUUGAGAAAAAAAGAAGAGAGAAUUAAAAUACAGAAAUACAAAGAAAAUUAAAAGUAAAUACAAAAGGAAAUAAAUAAAUACAAGAGUUAUUACCAAUAAACGUGGAAUGUGUGGAAAAUGUAUUGUGGGCCCCAGACAAAAGACUGCGAAGAAGGCAUAGUUGUCCCAUAUUUGGGUUUUGAUUAACAUCAUCAAUUCACAUGGAAAAAUUUUUACCAAUCCAUGAAUUUGUAAGUUGUUCUUUAAGUUUUGAGAAAAAAAAAAUUGGGAUUAGAGAAGGGAGGAAGGAAGAAGACAAAGAUGCAAUUUUUUUUUG